RNAcentral lists this transfer RNA (75 nucleotides) under Rhizosphaericola mali. Its description in RNAcentral is "Arachidicoccus sp. B3-10 tRNA-Arg". It matches the Rfam family "tRNA". From Rfam's summary of the family: Transfer RNA (tRNA) molecules are approximately 80 nucleotides in length. Their secondary structure includes four short double-helical elements and three loops (D, anti-codon, and T loops). The record is from RNAcentral. Lineage: Bacteria; Pseudomonadati; Bacteroidota; Chitinophagia; Chitinophagales; Chitinophagaceae.
GGUCGUGUAGUACAAUGGAUAGUAUAAGAGUUUCCGAAGCUCCAGAUCCUAGUUCGAUUCUAGGCAUGACCACCA